CUUGUAUGGUACACUUUGAGAUUUUUAUUAAUGUAAUUUCUAUGAACCUAUGACUUAGAAGGAUGGAAAUUCUAUUAGUUUGAUCUCUAAUAUGUGCCAAGUUAUCAAAAAAAUCAUUCUCCUUAAUUCUCUCAGCAGCUGACAUCAUUUCACACAUAAGGAGACAAACUCAAAGACGUUUAAACAGUUGCUGAAAACUACACACCAUGCAGAGGAAGAAAACAGGGAAGGGAGUCUCAACUGACAAAAAUUUCUUCCAAAUUGAGGAGUUUAUGUGAACAGGGUAUAUUAGCAGCAAGAAAUAUAAAAAUCUGAGUUUAAGUAGCAAGACAUGGAAACAACCUAAAUGUCUAUCGA
Molecule: long non-coding RNA, 357 nt
Filed under: Sus scrofa (pig)
Lineage: Eukaryota; Metazoa; Chordata; Mammalia; Artiodactyla; Suidae
Description: lncRNA (ENSSSCG00070020867.1)
Source: RNAcentral